Long non-coding RNA from Oreochromis aureus, 341 nucleotides. RefSeq lists it as uncharacterized. The transcript is spliced from 4 exons. NCBI's taxonomy places the organism in Eukaryota, Metazoa, Chordata, Actinopteri, Cichliformes, Cichlidae. The record is from RefSeq and is a predicted model, not a curated record.
CCAAGAAAUUAGAGCAAGAAACCUACUGGGUCGCUCCAAUCUUUAUAUCCGUCCAAAGAUUACAGAAGCCAAUGACGACUCAACUGGUGGAGAAGUGGUGCAGUCUGAAAUGGCAAUUGUGCUGCAUGACACAGAGACACCUGACCAUGGCAGGCACAAUGUACAGGAGCCAGAGGUUAUCAGUGGUCUGCAUGAAAACCAUACAGCUAAUUCUAGUAGGCCUGGUCUCCAGGAACCAGAGGUUAACAGGCAAGUGGUAGUUGAUGAAUAACGUGCCAAAACUGAAGUGUAAACUGUAACUUAUUGUCUAUUUACCUAUGGUGUGUGUUUUAUAAGUACAA